Molecule: ribosomal RNA, 499 nt
Filed under: uncultured bacterium
Lineage: Bacteria
Description: partial 16S ribosomal RNA
Rfam family: Bacterial small subunit ribosomal RNA
Source: RNAcentral
GACGAACGCUGGCGGCGUGCCUAAUACAUGCAAGUCGAGCGAAGUUUUUCUGGUGCUUGCACUAGAAAAACUUAGCGGCGAACGGGUGAGUAACACGUAAAGAACCUGCCUCAUAGACUGGGACAACUAUUGGAAACGAUAGCUAAUACCGGAUAACAGUAUUUCUCGCAUGAGAGAUAUUUAAAAGUUGGUUAUGCUAACACUAUGAGAUGGCUUUGCGGUGCAUUAGCUAGUUGGUGGGGUAAAGGCCCACCAAGGCGACGAUGCAUAGCCGACCUGAGAGGGUGAUCGGCCACACUGGGACUGAGACACGGCCCAGACUCCUACGGGAGGCAGCAGUAGGGAAUCUUCCGCAAUGGGCGAAAGCCUGACGGAGCUACGCCGCGUGAGUGAAGAAGGAUUUCGGUUCGUAAAGCUCUGUUGUUAGGGAAGAAUGGAUAUGUAGUAACUAUACAUGUAAGAGACGGUACCUAACCAGAAAGCCACGGCUAACUACGUG